CGGAAAUUCGAUUUAUUGGGUUUUAAGGGGUGCGUAGGCGGUUUGAUAAGUCAGCGGUGAAAUAAUUUCAGCUUUAACUGAAAGGGUGCCCGUUGAUACUGUCAGGCCUGGAAAUAUGGUUGCUGUGGGUGGAAUGUGUGGUGUAGCGGUGAAAAUUGCUUAGAUAUGACACAGAACACCGAUCGCGAAGGCAGCUUACCAAAGCAACCAACUGACGCUCAUGGCACGAAAGCGUGGGGAUCAAACAGGAUUAGAUACCCUGGUAGUCCACGCCGUAAACGAUGAUCACUCGGAUGUUGGCGAUAACACAGUCAGCGUCUUUAGGGAAACUAUUAAGUGAUCCACCCUGGGGAGUACGGGUCGCCAAGAUUGAAACUCAAAGGGAAUUGACGGGGGCCCGCCACAAGCGGGAGGAGCCAUGUGGUUUAAUUCGAUGAUACCCGAGGAACCUUACCCCGGGCUCGAACGGUGCAGGAAUACCGUCCGAGAAUGAUGUAGCUAGCAAUAGUCUGUAUCGAGGUGCUGCAUGGUUGUCGUCAGCUCGUGCCGUGAGGUGUCGGCUUAAGUGCCAUAACGAGCGCAACCCUUGUCGUUGGUUGCCAUCAGAUAAUGCUGGGAACUCUAGCGAGACUGCCACCGUAAGGUGUGAGGAAGGGGGGGAUGACGUCAAAUCAGCACGGCCCUUACGUCCGGGCCGACACACGUGUUACAAUGGUAGGUACGGAGGGCAGCUACCCAGCAAUGGGGUGCGAAUCUCAAAAGCCUAUCUCAGUUCGUAUCGGAGUCUGCAACUCGAAUCCGUGAAUUGGGAUUAGUUACUAAUCGCGCAUCAACCAUGGGACACUCAUCGUUUCCCGGUCUUUGUACACUCCCUCAUUCCACACAGUAAACGAAGCGCAAAUUCACUGACGUCGUUUACACGUCUGACUGGGAAACCCGGGCGGGGGC
This 948-nucleotide ribosomal RNA is filed under the name uncultured bacterium. Its description in RNAcentral is "bacterial SSU rRNA". It matches the Rfam family "Bacterial small subunit ribosomal RNA", at positions 539 to 1533 of the family's 1533-position model. The record is from RNAcentral.